AAUUAAACAAUAUAUCAAUAUAUGAAAUGAAACACCAUCAACCAACAACAUAUACUUAUAAAUCUAAAUAUAUAAACUAAAAUAAAACCCUUAUGAGAGUGAUCUCACCAUAUUCACAUUCAUAUAAAAUUGACAACUGAAACAAUAGAUGAGAACUUAAUUAAGUUUUUAUUAAAAAGCUACUAAAUAAAAUCAACAACCUCCUCCACCACCGCCGCCGCAACCUCCUCCACCACCACCGGUGAUGGCGGCGCUGCCGGCGGCACUGCUGGCGGCGCCAGCUCCGCUUGUUUGUGGAGCGUCGUCGUCGCAGUCAGCACAAGCAGUGAUAAGCAGAGACAAAAGUGAAAUGGAUACAAGAAGCAUGCCUAGCACGUAGAUGAGCCCUGCACCCUCAAAUACUCCAUUUUCAAAUUCAACACCUAUAUUUCUCACCAUUUUCUUGAUCCUGCAAAAUGAAGAGGAUAACUCACACAGGCUUUUAUAUAGAUGGUUGCAUUUAUUUGGAUCCUAGUUGAUGUGUAUUUUUUUUUUAACUCGGUUCUGAUUCACUGAACGAUCUUUUUCUCUGAGAUGUGUUACAAAC
Molecule: long non-coding RNA, 586 nt
Filed under: Salvia miltiorrhiza (redroot sage)
Lineage: Eukaryota; Viridiplantae; Streptophyta; Magnoliopsida; Lamiales; Lamiaceae
Description: long non-coding RNA (SMIL_LNC013479)
Source: RNAcentral